UAAGACGUAGGGUGCAAGCGUUGUCCGGAUUUACUGGGCGUAAAGAGCGCGUAGGCGGUCUGUUAAGUGUAGAGUGAAAUCUCCAGGGCUCAACCCGGAAACUGCUUUGCAUACUGGCAGGCUGGAGGAAUGCAGAGGUUUGUGGAAUUCCUGGUGUAGCGGUGAAAUGCAUAGAUAUCAGGAGGAACACCAAUGGCGAAGGCAGCAAACUGGGCAUUUCCUGACGCUGAGGCGCGAAAGCGUGGGUAGCAAACAGG
RNAcentral lists this ribosomal RNA (257 nucleotides) under uncultured archaeon. RNAcentral's name for it is "partial 16S ribosomal RNA". It matches the Rfam family "Bacterial small subunit ribosomal RNA", at positions 521 to 776 of the family's 1533-position model. The record is from RNAcentral.